GUGUCAGCCGCCGCGGUAACACGUAGGGCGCAAGCGUUGUCCGGAAUUAUUGGGCGUAAAGAGCUCGUAGGUGGUUUGUUACGUCCGCUGUGAAAACCUAGGGCUUAACCCUGGGCUUGCAGUGGAUACGGGCAGACUAGAGGUAGGUAGGGGAGAAUGGAAUUCCUGGUGUAGCGGUGAAAUGCGCAGAUAUCAGGAGGAACACCGGUGGCGAAGGCGGUUCUCUGGGCCUUACCUGACACUGAGGAGCGAAAGCGUGGGGAGCGAACAGGAUUAGAUACCCUAGUAGUCC
RNAcentral lists this ribosomal RNA (292 nucleotides) under uncultured bacterium. RNAcentral describes it as "partial 16S ribosomal RNA". It matches the Rfam family "Bacterial small subunit ribosomal RNA", at positions 505 to 796 of the family's 1533-position model. The record is from RNAcentral.